Molecule: ribosomal RNA, 253 nt
Filed under: uncultured bacterium
Lineage: Bacteria
Description: partial 16S ribosomal RNA
Rfam family: Bacterial small subunit ribosomal RNA
Source: RNAcentral
UACAGAGGCCUCGAGCGUUAGGCGGAAUCACUGGGCUUAAAGCGUGUGUAGGCGGAUUGGUAAGUACCUUGUGAAAUCCCACAGCUUAACUGUGGAACUGCUCGGUAUACUGCUGAUCUUGAGCCACUCAGGGGCUACCGGAACAAAUGGUGGAGCGGUGAAAUGCGUAGAUAUCAUUUGGAACGCCAAUGGUGAAAACAGGUAGCUGGGGGUGUGCCGACGCUGAGACACGAAAGCCAGGGGAGCAAACGGG